UCCAUCACACGUAUACAUAUAUAUAUAUAUAUAUGUAUAUAUUGCGAGAUCGAAAGGACAUUUCGACAAAUCGCAGCGCGACGCGGCAGCGGCACAGACAGCCCCAGCCUGCCGCCCAUCGAGCGCGCCACGCCCACGCAGCUUAGUCGAGAAAUUAAGCCAACUUUUUCAAGAAUCGUUUUCAUCUGCGCCUCGUGACAUCCUUGAAGGACUGCGGCACCUGUUUUGCUGCUGUGGGCGUGUUUCUCUAUCUCUCUUUCUUUAAUUGGCCCCAUUGCCCAAGAAUCAAUUGAAAUUUAUGAUGAAAAUGUUUAAAAUGUAAUGAAAACGUGCAAGGAAAAGCCCUUGUCAGGGCUGCCAAAUUCCUGGGCAAAGAGAAUGAAAUUGGAAAAAAUAAGAAAAAAUGA
This is a long non-coding RNA of Drosophila navojoa, 407 nucleotides long. The record is from RefSeq and is a predicted model, not a curated record. Lineage: Eukaryota; Metazoa; Arthropoda; Insecta; Diptera; Drosophilidae.